CUGUUAUUAGGGAAGAACAUACGUGUAAGUAACUGUGCACGUCUUGACGGUACCUAAUCAGAAAGCCACGGCUAACUACGUGCCAGCAGCCGCGGUAAUACGUAGGUGGCAAGCGUUAUCCGGAAUUAUUGGGCGUAAAGCGCGCGUAGGCGGUUUUUUAAGUCUGAUGUGAAAGCCCACGGCUCAACCGUGGAGGGUCAUUGGAAACUGGAAAACUUGAGUGCAGAAGAGGAAAGUGGAAUUCCAUGUGUAGCGGUGAAAUGCGCAGAGAUAUGGAGGAACACCAGUGGCGAAGGCGACUUUCUGGUCUGUAACUGACGCUGAUGUGCGAAAGCGUGGGGAUCAAACAGGAUUAGAUACCCUGGUAGUCCACGCCGUAAACGAUGAGUGCUAAGUGUUAGGGGGUUUCCGCCCCUUAGUGCUGCAGCUAACGCAU
RNAcentral lists this ribosomal RNA (436 nucleotides) under Staphylococcus haemolyticus. RNAcentral's name for it is "bacterial SSU rRNA". It matches the Rfam family "Bacterial small subunit ribosomal RNA", at positions 433 to 860 of the family's 1533-position model. Lineage: Bacteria; Bacillati; Bacillota; Bacilli; Caryophanales; Staphylococcaceae. The record is from RNAcentral.